RNAcentral lists this ribosomal RNA (300 nucleotides) under uncultured bacterium. RNAcentral's name for it is "bacterial SSU rRNA". It matches the Rfam family "Bacterial small subunit ribosomal RNA", at positions 28 to 324 of the family's 1533-position model. The record is from RNAcentral.
GAUGAACGCUAGCGGCAGGCCUAAUACAUGCAAGCCGAACGGCAAGAUUGAUAGCAAUAUUGAUCCUAGAGUGGCGUAAGGGUGCGUAACACGUAUGCAAUCUACCCUCAACAGGAGGAUAGCUCCCCGAAAGGGGAAUUAAGACUCCAUAAGAUCAUUUGGUGGCAUCAUUGAAUGAUUAAACUUCCAGGGGUUGAGGAUGAGCAUGCGCCNGAUUAGUUAGUUGGCGGGGUAAGGCCCACCAAGACGAUGAUCAGUAGGGGAACUGAGAGGUUUGACUCCCCCACACUGGCACUGAGA